This 346-nucleotide ribosomal RNA is filed under the name uncultured eukaryote. RNAcentral describes it as "SSU rRNA". It matches the Rfam family "Eukaryotic small subunit ribosomal RNA", at positions 594 to 945 of the family's 1831-position model. The record is from RNAcentral.
AUAGCGUAUAUUAAAGUUGUUGCAGUUAAAAAGCUCGUAGUUGAACUUCGAACGUGGCUGGGCGGUCCGCCUCACGGUGUGUACUGUCUGGCCGUGUUCUCUUUCUUGGUGAGCCGGCAUGCCCUUCACUGGGUGUGUUGGGGAACCAGGACGUUUACCUUGAGAAAAUUAGAGUGUUCAAAGCAGGCCUACGCCCGGAUACUUUAGCAUGGCAUAAUAAAAUAGGACGUGCGGUUCUAUUUUGUUGGUUUCUAGAGUCGCCGUAAUGAUUAAUAGGGAUAGUUGGGGGCAUUAGUAUUCCGUUGCUAGAGGUGAAAUUCUUGGAUUGACUCAAGACCAACUAUUG